GAUGAACGCUAGCUACAGGCUUAACACAUGCAAGUCGAGGGGCAUCAGGAAGAAAGCUUGCUUUCUUUGCUGGCGACCGGCGCACGGGUGAGUAACACGUAUCCAACCUGCCCUUUACUCGGGGAUAGCCUUUCGAAAGAAAGAUUAAUACCCGAUGGCAUAAUGAUUCCGCAUGGUUUGAUUAUUAAAGGAUUCCGGUAAAGGAUGGGGAUGCGUUCCAUUAGGUUGUUGGUGAGGUAACGGCUCACCAAGCCUUCGAUGGAUAGGGGUUCUGAGAGGAAGGUCCCCCACAUUGGAACUGAGACACGGUCCAAACUCCUACGGGAGGCAGCAGUGAGGAAUAUUGGUCAAUGGGCGCUAGCCUGAACCAGCCAAGUAGCGUGAAGGAUGAAGGCUCUAUGGGUCGUAAACUUCUUUUAUAUAAGAAUAAAGUGCAGUAUGUAUACUGUUUUGUAUGUAUUAUAUGAAUAAGGAUCGGCUAACUCCGUGCCAGCAGCCGCGGUAAUACGGAGGAUCCGAGCGUUAUCCGGAUUUAUUGGGUUUAAAGGGAGCGUAGGUGGACUGGUAAGUCAGUUGUGAAAGUUUGCGGCUCAACCGUAAAAUUGCAGUUGAUACUGUCAGUCUUGAGUACAGUAGAGGUGGGCGGAAUUCGUGGUGUAGCGGUGAAAUGCUUAGAUAUCACGAAGAACUCCGAUUGCGAAGGCAGCUCACUGGACUGCAACUGACACUGAUGCUCGAAAGUGUGGGUAUCAAACAGGAUUAGAUACCCUGGUAGUCCACACAGUAAACGAUGAAUACUCGCUGUUUGCGAUAUACAGUAAGCGGCCAAGCGAAAGCAUUAAGUAUUCCACCUGGGGAGUACGCCGGCAACGGUGAAACUCAAAGGAAUUGACGGGGGCCCGCACAAGCGGAGGAACAUGUGGUUUAAUUCGAUGAUACGCGAGGAACCUUACCCGGGCUUAAAUUGCAGUGGAAUGAUGUGGAAACAUGUCAGUGAGCAAUCACCGCUGUGAAGGUGCUGCAUGGUUGUCGUUAGCUCGUGCCGUGAGGUGUCGGCUUAAGUGCCAUAACGAGCGCAACCCUUAUCUUUAGUUACUAACAGGUCAUGCUGAGGACUCUAGAGAGACUGCCGUCGUAAGAUGUGAGGAAGGUGGGGAUGACGUCAAAUCAGCACGGCCCUUACGUCCGGGGCUACACACGUGUUACAAUGGGGGGUACAGAAGGCAGCUAGCGGGUGACCGUAUGCUAAUCCCAAAAUCCUCUCUCAGUUCGGAUCGAAGUCUGCAACCCGACUUCGUGAAGCUGGAUUCGCUAGUAAUCGCGCAUCAGCCACGGCGCGGUGAAUACGUUCCCGGGCCUUGUACACACCGCCCGUCAAGCCAUGGGAGCCGGGGGUACAUGAAGUACGUAACCGCAAGGAUCGUCCUAGGGUA
This 1433-nucleotide ribosomal RNA is filed under the name uncultured organism. RNAcentral describes it as "16S ribosomal RNA". It matches the Rfam family "Bacterial small subunit ribosomal RNA". The record is from RNAcentral.